AUUGAACGCUGGCGGCACGCUUAACACAUGCAAGUCGAACGGCAGCACAGGUGCUUGCACCGGGUGGCGAGUGGCGGACGGGUGAGUAAUGCGUAGGAAUCUGCCCAGUAGUGGGGGACAACUCGGGGAAACUCGAGCUAAUACCGCAUACGCCCUACGGGGGAAAGCGGGGGGAUCUUCGGACCUCGCGCUAUUGGAUGAGCCUAAGUCGGAUUAGCUUGUUGGUAGGGUAACGGCCUACCAAGGCGACGAUCCGUAGCUGGUCUGAGAGGACGAUCAGCCACACUGGGACUGAGACACGGCCCAGACUCCUACGGGAGGCAGCAGUGGGGAAUAUUGGACAAUGGGGGCAACCCUGAUCCAGCAAUGCCGCGUGUGUGAAGAAGGCCUGCGGGUUGUAAAGCACUUUCAGUAGAGAAGAAAAGCUUAGGGUUAAUACCCCUGAGUCUUGACGUAACCUACAGAAGAAGCACCGGCUAACUCCGUG
This 487-nucleotide ribosomal RNA is filed under the name uncultured bacterium. RNAcentral describes it as "bacterial SSU rRNA". It matches the Rfam family "Bacterial small subunit ribosomal RNA", at positions 30 to 507 of the family's 1533-position model. The record is from RNAcentral.